RNAcentral lists this long non-coding RNA (1235 nucleotides) under Equus caballus (horse). RNAcentral's name for it is "lncRNA (ENSECAG00000049257.1)". The record is from RNAcentral. Lineage: Eukaryota; Metazoa; Chordata; Mammalia; Perissodactyla; Equidae.
CCCCACCCCCGCCCCCCCAGGAGGAGAGAGCAGCCGGCCUGUGCCGGCCCUGCUCCCAAUCCCAGCGCCCGCAUACCCUGCACAAGCGGUCAGCGCCGCCGAGGGUCUCCCCGCAUCCAUCCCACCCCACGCCUGCCAGCACGCGGCCUGGGGGCCUACCCUGGGCCCGCAGGGAGAGCACAGCCCUGGCCCAUGGAAGGUUCUGGACUGCAGAGAUCUCCUGCCUACAGCCUCCACCACGGAAUCCAAGGCGCUCCGGACCCUCUUCCCCACGCAGCCCUUCAGGUGCGGGAGUCCCCGAGGCCCCUUCUCUGAGCUAAAACACGCCACUCUUCCCAUUCCUCCUCAUGUGACUGGAUUUUGAGCCCUCCCACCAUCCUGGCCACACAGUCUGGAAUGUGGUUUGCUGAUGACUUUCCGAAAGUGGGGUUCCCAGGGCUCAAUACGCUCCCGGGAGCGGUCAGGUCAGCCGGCCCGGGGAAGGCUCUGCGGACACGUUUUGUUGACCCAACUUGAGGUCCUAUCAGCUGUCGCGGACCCCACGCAGACUCUGCAGUCACAAUGCCCCGAUUCAUGUCCCUUCUCAGCCAGUUCCACCUUGGGUAAAUUAUUUAGCUUCUCUGUACCUCAGUUUACUUAACUGUAAAAUAGGGUCAUAACGGCACCCCCUCUCCCCCACCCCAAGCCAAGACGCGGGAAAAGAGCCGGGCGGCCGUCGGCCGGCAGAGGGCGCUGCACGCCCGCCUUGGACGGGAUGCGCUGCCGGACGCGGCCGCCAGGGGUCGCCCGAGCGCCGCGGCGGACCGAGGAGACCCCUGGCCGGGCCGCGCCUGCACCACCCGACUGGUACCCACGAGGGGGGAGGGGGGAGGCUGCGCCGACCCUGGACUGGCCGCCCCUUGCCUGCGCCUCACCCCGCCCUUCUGGAAGACUCGGAGCAGUUUACUGCAACCUCCGCACACCUGAUGCGGAGCCAAAUCGCAGGCGCUGUGGCCGCCAAGCAGGUGGGCCUCACCCAAUCAGUUGAAGGCCUGAAGAGAACAAAAAGGCCGAGGCUCCCACGAGUAAGAGGGAACUCCUCCUGCCUGACUGAUUUCCAGCUGGGACAUCAGCUUUUUCCUGUCUUCAGACUUGAGCUGAAACAUCGGUUUCUCUUGGGUCUUGAGCCUGCCUGCCUUCAGACUGGAACAUCAUCAGCCCUCCUGGGUCUCCCGCUUGCUGACUGCAGAUCUUGG